GAUGAACGCUGGCGGCGUGCCUAAUGCAUGCAAGUCGAGCGAACAGACGAGGAGCUUGCUCCUCUGACGUUAGCGGCGGACGGGUGAGUAGCACGUGGAUAACCUACCUAUAAGACUGGGAUAACUUCAGGAAACCGGAGCUAAUACCGGAUAAUAUAUUGAACCGCAUGGUUCAAUAGUGAAAGACGGUUUUGCUGUCACUUAUAGAUGGAUCCGCGCCGCAUUAGCUAGUUGGUAAGGUAACGGCUUACCAAGGCAACGAUGCGUAGCCGACCUGAGAGGGUGAUCGGCCACACUGGAACUGAGACACGGUCCAGACUCCUACGGGAGGCAGCAGUAGGGAAUCUUCCGCAAUGGGCGAAAGCCUGACGGAGCAACGCCGCGUGAGUGAUGAAGGUCUUCGGAUCGUAAAACUCUGUUAUUAGGGAAGAACAAAUGUGUAAGUAACUAUGCACGUCUUGACGGUACCUAAUCAGAAAGCCACGGCUAACUACGUG
RNAcentral lists this ribosomal RNA (497 nucleotides) under uncultured bacterium. Its description in RNAcentral is "partial 16S ribosomal RNA". It matches the Rfam family "Bacterial small subunit ribosomal RNA", at positions 28 to 507 of the family's 1533-position model. The record is from RNAcentral.